RNAcentral lists this ribosomal RNA (484 nucleotides) under uncultured bacterium. RNAcentral describes it as "partial 16S ribosomal RNA". It matches the Rfam family "Bacterial small subunit ribosomal RNA", at positions 30 to 507 of the family's 1533-position model. The record is from RNAcentral.
AUUGAACGCUGGCGGCAGGCCUAACACAUGCAAGUCGAGCGGAUGAAGGGAGCUUGCUCCUGUAUUCAGCUGCGGACGGGUGGGUAAGUCCUAGGAAUCUGCCUUAUAUUUGGGGAUAAGGUCAGGAAAGGGGCGCGAAUACCACAUACGUCCUUAUGUUGAAAGGGGUGGAUCUUCGGAGCUCACGCUAUCAGAUGACCCUAGUUCGUAUUAGCUAGUUGGUUGGGUAAAGGCCUACCAAGGCGACGAUCCGUAACUGGUCUGAGAGGAUGAUCAGUCACACUGGAACUGAGACACGGUCCAGACUCCUACGGGAGGCAGCAGUGGGGAAUAUUGCACAAUGGGCGAAAGCCUGAUGCAGCCACGCCGCGUGUGUGAAGAAGGUCUUCGGAUUGUAAAGCACUUUAAGUUGGGAGGAAGGGAAGUAAGUUAAUCUCUUGCUGUCUUGACGUUACCAACAGAAUAAGCACCGGCUAACUUCGUG